RNAcentral lists this non-coding RNA (276 nucleotides) under Ktedonobacter racemifer. RNAcentral describes it as "T-box sequence". It matches the Rfam family "T-box leader". From Rfam's summary of the family: Uncharged tRNA acts as the effector for transcription antitermination of genes in the T-box leader family. T-boxes are found upstream of many aminoacyl-tRNA synthetase genes and some amino acid biosynthetic genes usually in Gram-positive bacteria. The record is from RNAcentral. Lineage: Bacteria; Bacillati; Chloroflexota; Ktedonobacteria; Ktedonobacterales; Ktedonobacteraceae.
AUGCAAGCGUUGAUGGGACGAGUAACAGUUGUCUCUCACGUUCAGAGAGUGGGCGGUCGGUGGAAAGCCCAUACGUUGAAGAACUGUGAAAAAGACCCGGAUGCUGCGAGAAGAAAUCACGUGAUGACGUGAGAAUAGACCUCGCCGGAGCCCCCGUAAUCGGGCAGUGAGCUAACCGUCAGGUUUGCCCCAGGAGGUUGUCACCGCGAUGUGACAACAAAAGAAGGUGGUACCACGGGAGCCUUUACGAGAAAGUAAGCGCUCUUCGUCCUUUAG